GACGAACGCUGGCGGCGUGCUUAACACAUGCAAGUCGAGCGGUAAGGCCCUUUCGGGGGUACACGAGCGGCGAACGGGUGAGUAACACGUGGGUGACCUGCCCUCAGCUCUGGGAUAAGCCUGGGGAACUGGGUCUAAUACCGGAUAUGACUCCAUGACGCAUGUUGUGGGGUGGAAAGCCUUGUGCGGCUGAGGAUGGGCCCGCGGCCUAUCAGCUUGUUGGUGGGGUGANGGCCUACCAAGGCGACGACGGGUAGCCGGCCUGAGAGGGCGACCGGCCACACUGGGACUGAGACACGGCCCAGACUCCUACGGGAGGCAGCAGUGGGGAAUCUUGCGCAAUGGGCGAAAGCCUGACGCAGCGACGCCGCGUGAGGGAUGACGG
This 385-nucleotide ribosomal RNA is filed under the name uncultured bacterium. RNAcentral describes it as "bacterial SSU rRNA". It matches the Rfam family "Bacterial small subunit ribosomal RNA", at positions 28 to 414 of the family's 1533-position model. The record is from RNAcentral.